This 473-nucleotide ribosomal RNA is filed under the name uncultured organism. Its description in RNAcentral is "partial 16S ribosomal RNA". It matches the Rfam family "Bacterial small subunit ribosomal RNA", at positions 333 to 797 of the family's 1533-position model. The record is from RNAcentral.
ACACUCCUACGGGAGGCAGCAGUGGGGAAUAUUGCACAAUGGGCGCAAGCCUGAUGCAGCCAUGCCGCGUGUAUGAAGAAGGCCUUCGGGUUGUAAAGUACUUUCAGCGGGGAGGAAGGCAAUACGGUUAAUAACCGUGUUGAUUGACGUUACCCGCAGAAGAAGCACCGGCUAACUCCGUGCCAGCAGCCGCGGUAAUACGGAGGGUGCAAGCGUUAAUCGGAAUUACUGGGCGUAAAGCGCACGCAGGCGGUCUGUCAAGUCGGAUGUGAAAUCCCCGGGCUCAACCUGGGAACUGCAUUCGAAACUGGCAGGCUUGAGUCUUGUAGAGGGGGGUAGAAUUACAGGUGUAGCGGUGAAAUGCGUAGAGAUCUGGAGGAAUACCGGUGGCGAAGGCGGCCCCCUGGACAAAGACUGACGCUCAGGUGCGAAAGCGUGGGGAGCAAACAGGAUUAGAUACCCGAGUAGUCCCA